CCGCACUAAUACGAAGCAGACGGCCAGAUGCUGCUGUGAAGGGGAGGAAGGAUUUCAAAGGUCAACUCGCAGCGCAUGACCCACAUCAGCGCGCGACUCCACGAACCCCAGCGACGGCUCUGUAGGAGCCGGGUCGUGAGCCGGGUCGUGCGACGGGUCGGCCCGUGCUCGUCAGGGAUCGAACGCUGAGGGACGCGUUUAGCACAAUAAUCAGGACACCUCUGUGGGCAGCAGGAGCCACGUCACUCCUCUCCUCAUAGCAACAGUCCUGUUGACCUACAUGCCUUCUACACAGCCCACUCUGCCCCGGGUGGUGGAAAACUAUGCAAAUGCGUGACACAGGUACCGACUUCAUUUUGAAUUCACAAAAUGUGCACAUAGCGGCAUGAAAAACUUACGCGUCACCUCACACAUGGAAGCUUCACCCCCUCCUGAAAAACACCACGGUGCCGGUUAAAAUAAAGCAUCCGCUCGUUCAAGUAGAAUUAAAACUGCAUACAAAGUGUUGGUCUCCUCCAGUCGUUCAGCCUUUUAUUUGAUGAAUCAUUGUACAGUUCCCGAAAGGCUUCAGCUCAAAAUUCAGCAACGCACCAACAUAGGCGGAUUUCAAUUUUAGAGCAGAACCUCCGGCUUUACAUGCAACGCGGCAGCUUCCUGAAGCACCAGACGCGCGUUACCUGGAAAAACCGCACGACAGCAGCGCGUCCCCCCCCCCCGGUCUCGGCGCAGACGCCAGCACUAGCAAGGCAGUAGCUUGCGCAGUCAUCUCCAUAGCGGGCAGUGUCACAGCCCAACCAACAGCACAAACUACUACCUCAGCCAGUGCGUGGCCACCAAACAGGGAGAGCGACGCGCGCGCGGUCCUCGGGGAACGAGAAAAGCGCAUAGGGCGCGCGUGGCGUCCGGCGCAGCGACGUUCCCACGCAGCCGGCGAGCUCCAUCCUCUGAGCGCCCCACUCCACUCUCCCGUGCAGACUUGAAAUAAGAGGGAAACCCCGCCCAAGCCCGCUCCUCCUCCUCCUCUUACUCAUGCAAAACCCAAGGACCGAGCAUCCCUCCCUCCCUCCCCCCAUUGACCCGCUGGACGGUCCCAAACUAGGGCUCGGGGAGGUGGAGGGCGCACAAAUCACAAGUCAAAAAGAAAAACGAGCGGAACUCAUUGUUCACACGGAUGACUAAUUAAAUUGCUUUUACAUGCUAUAAUCCAUAUUAGAUAUUUACUAUUAUGAUUUACUAUUUACUGGAUCAAAUAAUUGAUCCAUGCACGUUUGUUUUAAUAUAAAGAGAAUUUAUGCUUUGUAAGUGCAUAAUUGUGUAGAUCAGCCCAUAACUAGCAGGAUUCACGCCUUCCACAAGGGGGAGCUGUUCGGGUACACGUAGACAUGUCAAUGUCGCCACCUACAGGCAACUAGGAGUCUGACGCGGCUGAACACUGCCACCUGCAGGCUGUAGCUGUAUUUUUUUCAUUUUCUGUAGGUAUCUAUUAGUUUUUAAGAUUUAAAAUUUUUUAAAUGGUCCUAGCACCAAGUCUGAGUUCGUUCUCCAUCUCCAUGUUCGAUUGUUGAUAAAUCGAACAUUCGCUUCGGCGAGAACUAGCUCGAAUCAUUAGACACCAACGAUGAUUCUGUCAAACGUAACAAAAAUGUGACAAAUAUUAAUGUUAAUAUUAAUCCUCAUGCAUGAUGAAUUAAGCACAGUACAGGUCUGAUCAUAGAACUGUCCCAUUUAUUUGAUACAGACAAGAACAUCCCUUCUCAAUGGCUGGCUAUAGAUGACAUGGAAUGUUACAGUAAGAUUUAUUUUCCUUGCAUAAAAUCCUCACUGUCGAAAAUGUUGCAAAAGUUUAAGUGUUACUUUUAAGAUCAAUAAAGCCCCAUUUUUUGCGUUGUUGUUUUUUUUACACCA
Betta splendens (Siamese fighting fish) is the source of this 1905-nucleotide long non-coding RNA. RefSeq lists it as uncharacterized. The transcript is spliced from 2 exons. The record is from RefSeq and is a predicted model, not a curated record. Lineage: Eukaryota; Metazoa; Chordata; Actinopteri; Anabantiformes; Osphronemidae.